Non-coding RNA from Podarcis lilfordi (Lilford's wall lizard), 81 nucleotides. The record is from the annotation of a GenBank genome assembly. NCBI's taxonomy places the organism in Eukaryota, Metazoa, Chordata, Lepidosauria, Squamata, Lacertidae.
GGCUAGAGUAAAGGAUAGCUCAGAUGGCAAAGCGUGAAACCCUUAACCUCAGAGUCGUGGGUUCGAGUCUCACUUUGGGCA